RNAcentral lists this ribosomal RNA (253 nucleotides) under uncultured Eubacteriales bacterium. RNAcentral's name for it is "uncultured Clostridiales bacterium partial 16S ribosomal RNA". It matches the Rfam family "Bacterial small subunit ribosomal RNA", at positions 524 to 776 of the family's 1533-position model. The record is from RNAcentral. Lineage: Bacteria; Bacillati; Bacillota; Clostridia; Eubacteriales.
UACGUAGGGGGCAAGCGUUAUCCGGAUUUACUGGGUGUAAAGGGAGCGUAGACGGCAGAGCAAGUCCGGAGUGAAAGCCCGGGGCCCAACCCCGGGACUGCUCUGGAAACUGUUAAGCUGGAGUGCGGGAGGGGCAGGCGGAAUUCGUGGUGUAGCGGUGAAAUGCAUAGAUAUCACGCAGAACUCCGAUUGCGAAGGCAGCAUACCGGCGCCCGACUGACGCUGAAGCACGAAAGCGUGGGUAUCGAACAGG